RNAcentral lists this ribosomal RNA (508 nucleotides) under uncultured bacterium. RNAcentral's name for it is "partial 16S ribosomal RNA". It matches the Rfam family "Bacterial small subunit ribosomal RNA", at positions 28 to 507 of the family's 1533-position model. The record is from RNAcentral.
GACGAACGCUGGCGGCGUGCCUAAUACAUGCAAGUCGAACGCUUCUUUCCUCCCGAGUGCUUGCACUCAAUUGGAAAGAGGAGUGGCGGACGGGUGAGUAACACGUGUGUAACCUACCCAUCAGAGGGGGAUAACACUUGGAAACAGGUGCUAAUACCGCAUAACAGUUUAUGCCGCAUGGCAUAAGAGUGAAAGGCGCUUUCGGGUGUCGCUGAUGGAUGGACCCGCGGUGCAUUAGCUAGUUGGUGAGGUAACGGCUCACCAAGGCCACGAUGCAUAGCCGACCUGAGAGGGUGAUCGGCCACACUGGGACUGAGACACGGCCCAGACUCCUACGGGAGGCAGCAGUAGGGAAUCUUCGGCAAUGGACGAAGGUCUGACCGAGCAACGCCGCGUGAGUGAAGAAGGUUUUCGGAUCGUAAAACUCUGUUGUUAGAGAAGAACAAGGACGUUAGUAACUGAACGUCCCCUGACGGUAUCUAACCAGAAAGACACGGCUAACUACGUG